Molecule: transfer RNA, 66 nt
Filed under: Pteropus alecto (black flying fox)
Lineage: Eukaryota; Metazoa; Chordata; Mammalia; Chiroptera; Pteropodidae
Rfam family: tRNA
About the family: Transfer RNA (tRNA) molecules are approximately 80 nucleotides in length. Their secondary structure includes four short double-helical elements and three loops (D, anti-codon, and T loops). Further hydrogen bonds mediate the characteristic L-shaped molecular structure. tRNAs have two regions of fundamental functional importance: the anti-codon, which is responsible for specific mRNA codon recognition, and the 3' end, to which the tRNAs corresponding amino acid is attached (by aminoacyl-tRNA synthetases). tRNAs cope with the degeneracy of the genetic code in two manners: having more than one tRNA (with a specific anti-codon) for a particular amino acid; and 'wobble' base-pairing, i.e. permitting non-standard base-pairing at the 3rd anti-codon position.
Source: Rfam by way of RNAcentral
UUCAUAGUGUAGCAGUUAGCACAUCUGCUUUACAUGCAGAAGGUCCUGAGUUUGUGCCUUAGUGGA